UUAUUCUGUUUAUUUUGGGAUGAGCUAUUACUUUAUGCUUUAAUGUUGAAUGCUCUGUGUUUUUGAUCAGCUGUUGAGAAUAACUCCGGCCGAGAGGAGCCGAGAAUACGUGCUUCUGUCCUUUCAGGAGCACCAGAGCUGUGAGUGCAGGCCCAGACGACACCACCUGAGACAUCAGCACAGAAGGAGGCGGAAGGGCAAACGCAGGAGGAGACGGAGAGGGAGGACAGACGGGGAUUGAGACGCUGCCGGGGGUCAGGUGACUCUCUGCUGCCCCCUGCAGAGACACACUCACAUCACCGCUGCUCAUGUGUGUCUCUGCAGUUUGUUUUUACUAGCACAUGAAACCCCUGCAGUGCGCCAUCUAUUUAUAUCAACUGUAAAUUAU
This is a long non-coding RNA of Sinocyclocheilus rhinocerous, 388 nucleotides long. RefSeq lists it as uncharacterized. The record is from RefSeq and is a predicted model, not a curated record. The transcript has 3 exons. Lineage: Eukaryota; Metazoa; Chordata; Actinopteri; Cypriniformes; Cyprinidae.